GACGAACGCUGGCGGCGCGCUUAACACAUGCAAGUCGAACGGUAAGGCCCUUCGGGGUACACGAGUGGCGAACGGGUGAGUAACACGUGGGUGAUCUGCCCUGCACUUCGGGAUAAGCCUGGGAAACUGGGUCUAAUACCGGAUAGGACCACUGCCUGCAUGGGUGGUGGUGGAAAGCUUUUGCGGUGUGGGACGGGCCCGCGGCCUAUCAGCUUGUUGGUGGGGUGAUGGCCUACCAAGGCGACGACGGGUAGCCGGCCUGAGAGGGUGACCAGCCACAAUGGGACUGAGAUACGGCCCAGACUCCUGCGGGAGGCAGCAGUGGGGAAUAUUGCACAAUGGGCGCAAGCCUGAUGCAGCGACGCCGCGUGAGGGAUGACGGCCUUCGGGUUGUAAACCUCUUUCAGCACCGACGAAGCGCAAGUGACGGUAGGUGCAGAAGAAGGACCGGCCAACUACGUGCCAGCAGCCGCUGUAA
RNAcentral lists this ribosomal RNA (478 nucleotides) under uncultured bacterium. Its description in RNAcentral is "partial 16S ribosomal RNA". It matches the Rfam family "Bacterial small subunit ribosomal RNA", at positions 28 to 523 of the family's 1533-position model. The record is from RNAcentral.